This 380-nucleotide ribosomal RNA is filed under the name uncultured bacterium. Its description in RNAcentral is "bacterial SSU rRNA". It matches the Rfam family "Bacterial small subunit ribosomal RNA", at positions 29 to 402 of the family's 1533-position model. The record is from RNAcentral.
AACGAACGCUGGCGGCGCGCCUAAUACAUGCAAGUCGAGCGAGAAGACGUAGCAAUACGUUUGUAAAGCGGCGAACGGGUGAGGAAUACAUGGGUAACCUACCCUCGAGUGGGAAUAACUAGCCGAAAGGUUAGCUAAUACCGCGUACGCUCCUUGGACUUCGGUUCAGGGAGGAAAGCGAUACCGUGGGUAUCGCGCUCUUGGAUGGGCUCAUGUCCUAUCAGCUUGUUGGUGAGGAACGGCUCACCAAGGCUUCGACGGGUAGCUGGUCUGAGAGGACGAUCAGCCACACUGGCACUGCGACACGGGCCAGACUCCUACGGGAGGCAGCAGUAAGGAUAUUGCGCAAUGGGCGAAAGCCUGACGCAGCGACGCCGCGU